UACGUAGGGCGCGAGCGUUGUCCGGAAUUAUUGGGCGUAAAGAGCUCGUAGGCGGCCUGUUGCGUCCGCUGUGAAAUCCCGGGGCUUAACCCCGGGUCUGCAGUGGAUACGGGCAGGCUGGAGGCAGGCAGGGGAGAACGGAAUUCCCGGUGUAGCGGUGAAAUGCGCAGAUAUCGGGAGGAACACCGGUGGCGAAGGCGGUGCUCUGGGCCUGGACUGACGCUGAGGAGCGAAGGCGUGGGGAGCGAACAGG
RNAcentral lists this ribosomal RNA (253 nucleotides) under uncultured bacterium. RNAcentral's name for it is "partial 16S ribosomal RNA". It matches the Rfam family "Bacterial small subunit ribosomal RNA", at positions 524 to 776 of the family's 1533-position model. The record is from RNAcentral.